Long non-coding RNA from Cucumis sativus (cucumber), 470 nucleotides. RefSeq lists it as uncharacterized. The transcript has 2 exons. NCBI's taxonomy places the organism in Eukaryota, Viridiplantae, Streptophyta, Magnoliopsida, Cucurbitales, Cucurbitaceae. The record is from RefSeq and is a predicted model, not a curated record.
AUUCUCUCUCAAAUUUUAGCUUUUUAAUAUUGCAAAAAAUUAUGGUUCUUAAGAAGACAUUAGCAUUUUCAUGCAAUAAUCUUCUCCAGCUAUUGGCCUUCAUCUUUCUCUUUUUUCUUCUCAUCACAACCACAGGUUCUUCAGCAAGGAGUUUAGUAGAAGGGAGGAGUCGAAAUGACGACGAUCCUUACGUCAAAAACCAUAGCGGAGUGAUUGGAAACGACUUGGUGACAAUGGAUUAUACUCCGGCGAGGAAGAACCAUCCAAUUCAUAACUAGCAAAAAUUACUAAUAACUAUUGGUAAUAAUGUUUUUAGAGUAUGUUUGUUUGGAAUUUGAAUCGGAAGAAAUUAUAUAUGUUUUCUUCUUUGUAUUUUCCUUUAUUCAUAGAGAAAGUUAAAGUAAAAACCUAAGCUUGAAUGCUAAACAUUAUCUAUCUAUAUAUGAUAUGAAAUGAUAUUUUCUACCGUU